UACGUAGGGUGCGAGCGUUAAUCGGAAUUACUGGGCGUAAAGCGUGCGCAGGCGGAUUGUUAAGCAAGAUGUGAAAUCCCCGGGCUUAACCUGGGAAUGGCAUUUUGAACUGGCAGUCUAGAGUGUGUCAGAGGGGGGUGGAAUUCCACGUGUAGCAGUGAAAUGCGUAGAUAUGUGGAGGAACACCAAUGGCGAAGGCAGCCCCCUGGGAUAACACUGACGCUCAUGUACGAAAGCGU
This 239-nucleotide ribosomal RNA is filed under the name uncultured bacterium. RNAcentral describes it as "partial 16S ribosomal RNA". It matches the Rfam family "Bacterial small subunit ribosomal RNA", at positions 524 to 762 of the family's 1533-position model. The record is from RNAcentral.